Molecule: ribosomal RNA, 451 nt
Filed under: uncultured bacterium
Lineage: Bacteria
Description: partial 16S ribosomal RNA
Rfam family: Bacterial small subunit ribosomal RNA
Source: RNAcentral
GAUGAACGCUGGCGGCGUGCCUAACACAUGCAAGUCGAGCGGCAGCGAGGGGUGCUUGCCCCCUGCCGGCGAGCGGCGGACGGCUGAGUAACGCGUGGGAACGUGCCCCAAAGUGAGGAAUAACUGCCCGAAAGGGUAGCUAAUACCGCAUAUUAUCUUCGGAUCAAAGGAUUUAUCCGCUUUGGGAGCGGCUCGCGUCGGAUUAGGUAGUUGGUGAGGUAAUGGCUCACCAAGCCGACGAUCCGUAGCUGGUCUGAGAGGAUGACCAGCCAGACUGGAACUGAGACACGGUCCAGACUCCUACGGGAGGCAGCAGUGAGGAAUCUUCCACAAUGGGCGAAAGCCUGAUGGAGCAACGCCGCGUGCAGGACGAAGGCCUACGGGUUGUAAACUGCUUUUAUAAGUGAGGAAUAUGACGGUAACUUAUGAAUAAGGAUCGGCUAACUACGUG